CUGCACUGUGCACCGUUUUAAACAUAAAUGUGAUGAUUACCACCCAGGAAGCUCGCCUUGGGGCAGGCAGGGUGCCCUGUCCCUCUGCCCGUGGAGCUCCAGGCAGCAGGCAUGGGCAGUACCGCUGCUCCAUGUGCACACAAGGCCCAGACUCCACACAGGAAAACUGCCAUCUGAAAGGAGAAUUGGAACGCACAGCCCAUCUGACUCUUGUCUUACUGAGACGUUAAACAGGAACACUCCCCAUAUCUGUAUGCACAGAAGACAAUACCGCCAGCUGUGUGAGGACCAAUCUUUCUCUCUCUUUUGGUGCACAAUUUUCCUGCACAAUAACCACUGACUUGUCUUUCCUUUCUGAAGACAAUUGUCCACCCGAGUGUCAGAUGAAGGGUGAAUUAUCUCCGAGAUACAGCGCGGGAGCACGACCAUGUUUCCAGUGCUGAGGCUUCCUCUGCAGCUCUCUGAACCUGUGUCGGUGCGUCUGCAGGCAGACGCCCCAGUCUGUGCUCGGGAGGCAGCCCUUGAAAGGGAGCCAGGAGGCCCAGACACACACAGGCACCUGUGCCCAAAUCCGGGCGAUGAUCCAGAAAUUAAGCGCCCAGGUCUGUCUCUAAUUGCACGUUUCAGCAGCGCCGCCCACCUAAUACAUCACUCUCUGAUGUGAAGGGAGGGGGAAAUUGCAGCCAGCCAGUCUGGUCUUUCCUCUGGAAAGGUUGGGAGAUGUCAGAGGAGUGGCAGCAGCAAGUCGUCUCACGUGAACCCGGAGGUGCUCUGUGGUUCCCCAAGGGGCGGAGCCUGCGCUGCUGGGGUCUGGGAUGGAGGGGCUUUGCACUGGACCACCUGAGCUAUCCAGGGUGUGGGGCUCCAUAGAGGCCCAGAUAGGGGCUCAGGGACCUCCAGCCAGGGCAGAAGAGCUCAGGGGUGGUUUCCUGGCUCUCUGCAGUGAGUAGGGUGUUAGAAGGCACCAAAACAAGGCCCCUCCCCCUUGGAUCUGCAGGACAUGGGCUGGUCGUAUGUCAGCUGUUGCUGCCACAGAAGUCAGGCUUCCAGGGGUGGAGUGAGCCCUGGGGUGACCUGGUGAUUCUGCAGCCACUGUGACAAGGCAUGGAGUGUCUUACGGGUCCCCUGCGGUCCAGUGUUAGAGCACCAAGUUACGUAACCCAUGUGACCCUGGGCUUCCCAACACGGCGCAGGCUUUCCCGUAGACCCUCCUUCACGCUGGAGCCCCUUUGACAGGAAGGGUGAGAUCAAAGGAAUCCUUCUCUCCAUGAGGAAUGCCGGCGCUUGCAGCAGCUGCUCUGCGAGGGCCCGCAUGUUUGCAGACCCGGACCUCAGGAAGGGAAUGCAGGUGACCACAGCAGCGCAUUCGGGAAGGUUCGGGGCCAGCUGGCGGCCACAUGAGGAGCCUGCCCUCCCAGACUUUACACAGCCUGCGUCACUGGCAUUAUCAUGUUCAUCACUUCUACUGAUGGGGCUGAGUCUCCAACCAAUAAUUGGGCUGCAUCUCCCGAGGUCGGUCAAGUGGCUUCUCCGAAAUCACCCUGCAGGGUCCCUGAACUGACAUUAAUCAGCUUCAGCCUCAGCUAUCUCCUGGACUGGGUCACCUGUAUCCGAGGCUCCCAGCUUCAGCCAGACUCAGGCCUCUGAUAUUCCUCAGCUCGCCCUGGUCAUUAACCAGACUUUCUCUCUACUCAUGAGCCAGCCUCAGGCAUCUAAAUGAGCAACGGUCCAUCUGCCUGUCAGAAAGAAGACCCAGACACAGUCCCGGAUGCAACCAUGACUCUCAGCACCAAGGCAUCCCCCCUUCAGCGUUCAGAAUGUAAUGGAAUCCACAUAGGGGCUUCACUUCUCAUCAUUCCAGCACCCCCCACCGUGUGUGGAAAUGCACCUUCUCUUCUCCUGGGAGACGUUCCUCCCAUCCAACUGUCUGGUUCCAGGAAGAUACUGUGCUCAUACAUGACUCCGCCCCCAUAGCCACCACUGAUUGGUCUAUGGGUGGUCACCUCACCCCAGAUUGGCCUUUCUGGGACUUUUCAAACUGGAACUGACAUGAAGCCAAGAGGAGGAAGAGACCGCAUGUUUUCUGGCAUAUGGAGAAGGCUGAUCUACCAUGACAAAGAGUUAAGACAAUCUCAUUAGAAGGCAGAGGAGGUGGGGCUGGACCACCCAGGGCCGGCUGCUCUGACGCUCACCUGCACAUCUGACCUGCUCUUUGGCUGCACAACCUGAGUCCAAGAGCAGACCCACAGGGCUCCCUGCAGAGAGUUCAAAGCAGAGGCUAUUUACAGAGGUCCAAGUAGGGGUGGGGAACCUGCAUCCCACGAACUGGAUAAGCAGGGAAACUGUUAUCCACCACAAGCCCCAGGGCACAGGUGUGGGGCUUUGUUUCUGGAAUGCAGGGAGGGUUGUAACUCUGGGAGAGGGGUCACCUGGCAGGAUCUGAGAUCUUAUUUGGGGAAAAACUUCACUGCUAAACAUCAGUCAGGCAGGGGCAAUACCUGCUCCAACUUCUGUCUUCUCCCAUCUUAGGCUUCUCCUGGGGACUCUCAUCAGUCAAAUCCAACAGAAUCCAGAGGGCAGGGAGCCCCACUGGUGCCAUUUAUAGAGGUCAGCCUGUGGGCACAGUGAGGUCAGAGAAGGGCACGGAAUCGAUGCAGAGGGGCAGUCAAAGAGUAACUUGUGCAAAACAACCCUUCUUGGAUUCCUUGAGUCAGUAAAUGUUCCCAUUGGUCUUAGCAUUUCUGAGUUGCAUUUCUCUUAUUUGACUCCAAAACUCCUGUUCUGUAAGUAACUCCCCAAAGACAGUAAGUUUCUCAAACCAGUUACUAAAUCAAGUAUAGGGGCUGGUGAAGCUAAGUGAUGCUUGUUGCAUGGCUAGAUGAGAAGGCGAGAAAGCACUGUGGAGGCUCCAUCAAUGUUAGAUAGAUGCUGCCCUGGUUUCAUCAUCUGCUACCUACCCUUAGGCAGUUUCUUUGUUAAAGCAUCUUAUGAUCUUGCCCAAGAUUACCUGUGAUAGAGUAUGAAGGCCCUUGGUGGCACAACCCCUCUUUUCAUGGUCUUUUAUAAAACCAGCUGCCCAGCAGUGCCUGAGACUGAGCAGACAUUCAAUUCAUGUUGUUUGAAUGAAGGGACAGACGAGUUGAUGAUGGAUAGAUGAUGAAUGGAUGGAUGGAUGGACGGAUGGGUAAGUAAAUGGAUAGAAGAGGAAAUGGAUAAAUAAGUAAAUGAGUAGAUGGGUGGAUGGGUG
RNAcentral lists this long non-coding RNA (3247 nucleotides) under Homo sapiens (human). Its description in RNAcentral is "HSALNT0197550". Lineage: Eukaryota; Metazoa; Chordata; Mammalia; Primates; Hominidae. The record is from RNAcentral.